AUUGAACGCUGGCGGCAUGCCUUACACAUGCAAGUCGAACGGUAACGGGCCUUCGGGUGCCGACGAGCGGCGAACGGGUGAGUAAUACAUCGGAACGUGCCCGAUCGUGGGGGAUAACGAGGCGAAAGCUUUGCUAAUACCGCAUACGAUCUACGGAUGAAAGCAGGGGACCGCAAGGCCUUGCGCGGACGGAGCGGCCGAUGGCAGAUUAGGUAGUUGGUGGGAUAAAAGCUUACCAAGCCGACGAUCUGUAGCUGGUCUGAGAGGAUGAUCAGCCACACUGGGACUGAGACACGGCCCAGACUCCUACGGGAGGCAGCAGUGGGGAAUUUUGGACAAUGGGCGCAAGCCUGAUCCAGCCAUGCCGCGUGCAGGAUGAAGGCCUUCGGGUUGUAAACUGCUUUUGUACGGAACGAAAAGCCUUCUUUUAAUACAGGAGGGUCAUGACGGUACCGUAAGAAUAAGCACCGGCUAACUACGUG
This 482-nucleotide ribosomal RNA is filed under the name uncultured bacterium. RNAcentral describes it as "partial 16S ribosomal RNA". It matches the Rfam family "Bacterial small subunit ribosomal RNA", at positions 30 to 507 of the family's 1533-position model. The record is from RNAcentral.